Molecule: ribosomal RNA, 483 nt
Filed under: uncultured bacterium
Lineage: Bacteria
Description: partial 16S ribosomal RNA
Rfam family: Bacterial small subunit ribosomal RNA
Source: RNAcentral
GACGAACGCUGGCGGCGUGCUUAACACAUGCAAGUCGAGCGGAAAGGCCACUUCGUUGGUACUCUAGCGGCGAACGGGUGCGUAACACUUGAGUAAUCUGCCCCUCACUUUGGGAUAGCCACCGGUAACGGUGAUUAAUACCGGAUAUGACCAUAUUUCUCAUGGCGUGUGUUGGAAAGUUUUUCGGUGAUGGGCUUUCUCGCGUCGCAGCAGCUUGAUGGUGAGGUAACGGCGUACCAAGGCUUCGACGCGUAGCCGACCUGAGAGGGUGAUCGGUCACACGGGAACUGAGACACGGUCCAGACUCCUACGGGAGGAAGCAGUAGGGAAUCUUCCGCAAUGGGCGAAAGCCUGACGGAGCAACGCCGCGUGAGUGAUGAAGGUCUUCGGAUCGUAAAACUCUGUUAUGAGGGAAGAACAAAUGUGUAAGUAACUAUGCACGUCUUGACGGUACCUAAUCAGAAAGCCACGGCUAACUACGUG